This 253-nucleotide ribosomal RNA is filed under the name uncultured bacterium. RNAcentral's name for it is "partial 16S ribosomal RNA". It matches the Rfam family "Bacterial small subunit ribosomal RNA", at positions 524 to 776 of the family's 1533-position model. The record is from RNAcentral.
UACAGAGGUCUCAAGCGUUGUUCGGAUUCAUUGGGCGUAAAGGGCGCGUAGGCGGCGCCACAAGUCACUUGUGAAAACUCUGGGCUCAACUCAGAGCCUGCAAGCGAAACUGUGGUGCUGGAGUAUGGGAGAGGUGCGUGGAAUUCCCGGUGUAGCGGUGAAAUGCGUAGAUAUCAGGAGGAACACCGAUGGCGAAGGCAGGUCUCUGGGCCAUAACUGACGCUGAGAAGCGAAAGCAUGGGGAGCGAACAGG